This 800-nucleotide ribosomal RNA is filed under the name uncultured bacterium. Its description in RNAcentral is "bacterial SSU rRNA". It matches the Rfam family "Bacterial small subunit ribosomal RNA", at positions 8 to 845 of the family's 1533-position model. The record is from RNAcentral.
AGAGUUUGAUCCUGGCUCAGAGCGAACGCUGGCGGCAGGCUUAACACAUGCAAGUCGAGCGGGCGUAGCAAUACGUCAGCGACAGACGGGUGAGUAACGCGUGGGAACGUACCUUUUGGUUCGGAACAACACAGGGAAACUUGUGCUAAUACCGAAUAAGCCCUUACGGGGAAAGAUUUAUCGCCGAAAGAUCGGCCCGCGUCUGAUUAGCUAGUUGGUGAGGUAACGGCUCACCAAGGCGACGAUCAGUAGCUGGUCUGAGAGGAUGAUCAGCCACAUUGGGACUGAGACACGGCCCAAACUCCUACGGGAGGCAGCAGUGGGGAAUAUUGGACAAUGGGGGCAACCCUGAUGCAGCAACGCCGCGUGAGGGACGACGGCCUUCGGGUUGUAAACCUCUUUUAGUAGGGAAGAAGCGAAAGUGACGGUACCUGCAGAAAAAGCACCGGCUAACUACGUGCCAGCAGCCGCGGUAAUACGUAGGGUGCAAGCGUUAUCCGGAAUUAUUGGGCGUAAAGAGCUCGUAGGCGGUUUGUCGCGUCUGCUGUGAAAACUGGGGGCUCAACCCCCAGCCUGCAGUGGGUACGGGCAGACUAGAGUGCGGUAGGGGAGAUUGGAAUUCCUGGUGUAGCGGUGGAAUGCGCAGAUAUCAGGAGGAACACCGAUGGCGAAGGCAGAUCUCUGGGCCGUAACUGACGCUGAGGAGCGAAAGCAUGGGGAGCGAACAGGAUUAGAUACCCUGGUAGUCCAUGCCGUAAACGUUGGGAACUAGAUGUAGGGGCCAUUCCACGGUCUCUGUG